This 80-nucleotide small RNA is filed under the name Yarrowia lipolytica. Its description in RNAcentral is "YALI1_F10213p". Lineage: Eukaryota; Fungi; Ascomycota; Dipodascomycetes; Dipodascales. The record is from RNAcentral.
AAUUCUAAGGAAUUGACAGUGGAGGAAACAAUAGCCGGUUAAAUUCCGGUAGCUUCUCAGCUGAUCAACAUCUUUUUUGC